Molecule: long non-coding RNA, 217 nt
Organism: Arabidopsis thaliana (thale cress)
Lineage: Eukaryota; Viridiplantae; Streptophyta; Magnoliopsida; Brassicales; Brassicaceae
Product: other RNA
Exons: 1
Source: RefSeq
GAAGGUGGUCCAUCGGGUGCUUAUGAUGGCAUCCGUGAAUAAGAUAGUGUGCAGUGUUUCCCCUGGAGUGGUUUCACAAAAUCAUUAGCAUCUGACCGAAGUCAUGUUUCCAGGAAUUUGUCUGUUUGAGGAGGAUUCAUAGGAGAGUACUGUCUCUAUGAAAUGUAACACAGAGAGAGGGAGAAAGUGACUAACCAGUAACUCUUCGUUUUUAUGU